This 3573-nucleotide long non-coding RNA is filed under the name Marmota monax (woodchuck). The record is from RNAcentral. Lineage: Eukaryota; Metazoa; Chordata; Mammalia; Rodentia; Sciuridae.
GAAAGAUUAUAUGCAUAUUGAUACUUCGAGAUACAACCCUGCCUCCAGCCAUUCACCUAAAGUGCUGUGGUAUUAGCAUUACAUUUCCAUGAGCUACUUUCCAUGAAUUAAAUCUUCCUAUCACUUCUGAAAAACAGUUGUCCCCAACAUCUACAGGGAAUUGGUUCUAGGACCUCUCUGCUCAAAAACCAAAACCCAUGGAUGCUCAAGUCCUUUGUAUAAAGCAGCAUAGUAUGCUCAUAUAACCCAUGCACAUCCUCUUCUACACUUCAGACCCUCUUUAGAUUACUUCUAAUGCCUAAUAUGCUAUGUAAAUAGUUGUUUUACUCUAUUGCUUUGCAAGUAAUGACAAGAAAAAGAAAUCCUUGCAUAUUCAAUACAGAUGCAAUUUUUAAAGACAUUUUUAAAAUUAGUUACUGAAUUCAUGGAUUUGGAACCUGAAAAUAUGGCCGACUAUUCUCCUCCUCCUCCCCCUCCUCCCCAUCUUCUCCCUCCUCUUCUCCUCCUGUUCCUCCUCCUCCCCCCUCCCCCUCUCCCUCUCUCCUUUUUGCUUCUACCUUGUGCCUUAUGCCUGGAUGAGUUUGAACUGUGCUCUUGGUUUAUGGAGGCAAGGCAGUAUGUGUUUUGAGUUGCUUUUGAGUCUUUAAGACAGGAUGUUUUAGAAGCAUUUCCAUCUAGUAUCUAGUUCCCUUCCCAUCCCCUAACACAGGUGUGGCAUGCAGAUACCUCUGGGCUUUGGUGAAGAGGCUGCCUCAGAUUUAAUACAGGAGAGAAGAUAAUUGGUGUCCUUGAAGGUCAAAUCUUUGGCCUUGCUUUUUUCUACUGAACUAAGAAAUAACAAAUGAUGAGGAGACCCAAGAAGUUAUCCCACUGUGCAGUGAGCCUGAUAUUACCCAUCAUUAUGUGUCACCUUCUGUGACAGCUCAAUUACCCCCAAAAAAUAAUGCUGAAAUCAGGUUCCUUCCUAUUGAUUCCUGCUAUUGGCCUAGGCUAGAGGAGAAGAAGUAGAAGAUGAAAGAGAAAUUUGCUGAUGGGGAUUGGCAAGGAUGUUUGUGGAAUGAAGAAGUAUCAUUUCUAAGACUCUUCAGAGGGGAAAUUGAGAAGUUACUCAGCUACUUUACAUUAGGUAAGGGACUAGAAUUAGUUAAAAACAUUGGAAUCACAGAUUAAAGGAGCUCCUCUGGGAUCCACAUUUCAAACUUCAAGCAUGUGACAGUGUUACUAUGGAUUGGAUAGUAACAAUCUCUGAGUAAUAAUGGAUACUGAACAUUCAGUAAUUAAGUACAAUUUGCAACAAAGCCCAUCUUAAAUGGGUAAGUGACCUCGUGUGUCUAAACAUGAUUUCCUCCAUGGUAAUUAAUCACAAAUUGGAAGAGACAGAGUGAGUCGGGCUUAGUCUUCUUCCCACUUUGGUUUAAGGCAGUGCAUAGCUCCUCAGUUUCCAGGCUGGCAUCAAAGACCACCCCAUCACCCUCAGUAUGGCAUCCAGGCAGGAAUAGGACACAGUGGAGGAUUUGGAGUUGUUAGAGUGGGAGGGACAUUUUGCAGACAAGAGUCAGUAAUAGCCACAACUGCAGUGCAGAUCUUCCAAACAAAAGUUGAAUAAAGAAACUAUAAAACUCAAUAAUACAAUCAAUAACUUAGACUUAACUGACAUAUAUAGAAUAUUUCAACCUGUAUCAAAUGGAUACACUUUCUUCUCAGCAGCACAUGCAUCCUUCUCUAAAAUAAACCAUAUAAUAUGACAUAAAGCAACUCUUAGCAAAUACCAAAAAGGAGAGAUACUACCCUGCAUUUUAUCAGAUCAUAAUUUAAUGAAAUUGGAAAUCAAUGACAGAAUAAAAAAUAAAAAUUACUCCAACACCUGGAGACAGUAUACUACUGAAUGAACAAUGGGUUGCAGAAGACAUCAAGGAGGAGAUUAAAAAAUUCUUAGAGGUAAAUGAGAACAUAGACACAACAUAUGGAAAUCUCUGGAACACUAUGAAGGCAGUACUAAAAGGAAAGUUCAUUGCAUGCAGUUCAUUCCUUAAAAGGAAAAAAAAAGUCAACAAAUAAAUGACUUCACAUUACAAAACUCAAAGUCCUAGAAAAUGAAGAACAAAUCAACAGCAAAAACAAAAGACAAGAAAUAAUUAAAAUUAGAGCUGAAAUAAAUGAAAUUGAAACAGAAGAAACAAUUUUUAAAAUUGACAAAACAAAAAGUUGAUUCUUUGAAAAAAAUAAAUAAAAUUGGCAGACCCUUAGCUACUCUGGGAAACCAAGCAGCCAACUCAGGGACCUUCCUGAAAGGAACACAGAAAACACAAAUCACUCCCUAGACCACAUCCAUCUAAGUAGGAAGAGUGUGAUUGAAACACAUCCAGAUUUUGCCAUAUCCUAGGUUCAUUACUUUCCUUUAAAAAUUAUGCUGAAUUUUCUGGAAUGAAUGCUGCAUUUCUGUUUGGCUUUGGUAAGACAGAGUGGGAUGGUUUUUAGAUCAUGGAACUGACAGAGCUGGGGAGACCUAGGCUUGGGGAAGGGAUCAGACAGCAGUAGGUCAGCUCUGGCUGUGUCAGCAAGAGAAGAAAGGACCACUCCCAGAACUGACUUAAGGAAUUCGAGAGGAGGAAGGCUAGGUUCAGGAAGGGGAUGGGAUGUGGGUGUACCUGCCUGAAGGGAGGCACAUCUCUGGUGACCUCUGCCUCUUCUCCCUGCUCCACCUGCCUCUCAGACUCACUUCCCACCCGCAGCUGCUGAGAACCAGUCUCUGUUUUGUUCUGGAGUCUGCAGGUCCAAGGCUUUCCUAUCUACAUAUUUUACCUUGUCUCUGCUCAGAUAUCCAAUGACUAGAUUCUCCUCUCUGCCUGUUUCUUUCUAAAUUCAAAGGCACAUGAGAUUCCUUGUUUUAAACACAGUAAAAAGUGGGAUCAACUAAGUACCUAAGAAUAGCCCCAUAACAGGGCUGAAAGGAGCUGGGAUCUUAACUUAGAGAAAGGAAGGGGAGUGGGAUGGAAAACAACAGACCCUGCUGUAAAUGUCUUGGGGAGGACACAUAUCUGUUCAUCCCAAGCCCCGCCCCACCAAGUGGCCUGAAGUUCUGAAGUCAUUUUUUCUUUCUGUCACUGGCCUCUCCUGGGUCUGGUGCCUGUUCCUGAUAUUCUCCUUGAAAGCUUUUGUGGUCUUGUCCAGGAUCCCCAAUGAUGGCCAAGGGUAGCCUGACCAUCCAGGUUGCAAGGGGUCUGUGUCUGUUUAUUGAAAGCAUCAACAAUUACAAAUCAUUGACAGAAUGAUUAAAGGCUGGAAGCCACAGUUUAAUUUUUUGCUUGCUAACUUUCUAAGGCUGUUGUAUAGCUAUUUGCUACUCCUUUACAACAUCACAUUUAAAAAUGUUUAAAUGUACCACAAAUAUAAUCCCUGUGAUGUAUUCUACAAUAAAACUGACAUAUAUCCUUUUAAAAUAUGUCUAAGAAAUCUGAAUAUUACAGUGGUUUUAUAUCCACUGUCAUCCUCUUUAACAAUAUGUGAGUAAAUGCUUCAUUAAUGUUAGAAAUUCAACAUUGUUUAUUUUGCUCCUUGAACAUAGGAUUCUCC